Molecule: long non-coding RNA, 635 nt
Filed under: Cyanistes caeruleus (blue tit)
Lineage: Eukaryota; Metazoa; Chordata; Aves; Passeriformes; Paridae
Description: lncRNA (ENSCCEG00000019731.1)
Source: RNAcentral
UGCUAUCACCCCAAAGAAAAAUGCUAAGAAUCUUCUAAUCAUGUGAUAGAUAAGAAAAAAUAUUAGUUACUUUAAGGCCUAAUUUGAGACUGCUACACUGAAGUAUGUGUCUUGUGCGUAGUGAUUAGUAUCUAUUGGCAAGUCCAGGAUGAAAAACUGGGAGUGCUGAUGCACCUACAAGAACACAUCCAAAUGAUACAGAGAUGGCUUUAUGCAAUUCAUUUAUCUGGAACAGACAUGAAUGGAUCUCUCUUUCUCCUCCUUUUGUAUUAAGGGCUAACUUUGGACUGUACAUGAUGUCAGCUGCUGCUUGUCCUUCCAUGUCUCAGUCUGCUUCUAAAGAAAAGUCGCUGUGGGCCUCUGCCUGCCUGUCACUGUUGGUCCUGCCAGCUCUGACUGUGGCCCUCAAAGGAAGGAAAUGUUAUCACAACAAACGUUUCCAGAAAUCUCAAAAUCAGCAAAAGUGCACAAGGGAGGAAAGAAGAGAGAGAGGAGCUCUGAACUACUCACUGCUGGCCUGGAGACUGUCAAAUCUGCACACUGAACCCAAUGAUCGUUAUUUAUGCUGUGCAGAACACUGUGCCACAGGAGCCAGGUGUGUGAUCUUUCUGGAAAUCAAUGGUGACCUUUUGUAA